AAUAAAGUGCCUGAUAAAAGGGUUAAACUGUAAAUUUAAUUAUAAGCUUUGACUUCUUUAUUA
RNAcentral lists this transfer RNA (63 nucleotides) under Bemisia tabaci. RNAcentral describes it as "tRNA-Tyr". The record is from RNAcentral. Lineage: Eukaryota; Metazoa; Arthropoda; Insecta; Hemiptera; Aleyrodidae.